GACAGAGGAUGCAAACGUUGCUCGGAAUUACUGGGCGUAAAGCGCGCGCAGGCUGUUCUGUAAGUCGGGUGUGAAAUCCCGGGGCUCAACCCCGGAAGUGCACACGAUACUGCAGAACUGGAGUACUGGAGAGGAGAGCGGAAUUCUCGGUGUAGAGGUGAAAUUCGUAGAUAUCGGGAGGAACACCAGUGGCGAAGGCGGCUCUCUGGACAGAUACUGACGCUGAGGCGCGAAAGCGUGGGAAGCAAACAGG
This 253-nucleotide ribosomal RNA is filed under the name uncultured bacterium. RNAcentral's name for it is "partial 16S ribosomal RNA". It matches the Rfam family "Bacterial small subunit ribosomal RNA", at positions 524 to 776 of the family's 1533-position model. The record is from RNAcentral.